AGGACGAACGCUGGCGGCGUGCUUAACGCAUGCAAGUCGAGCGGUAAGGCUCCUUCGGGAGUACACGAGCGGCGAACGGGUGAGUAACACGUGAGUAAUCUGCCCUUCACUUCGGGAUAACCACCGGAAACGGUGGCUAAUACCGGAUACGACCAGUCCUUGCAUGAGGUACUGGUGGAAAGUCUUUUCGGUGGAGGAUGUGCUCGCGGCCUAUCAGCUUGUUGGUGGGGUAAUGGCCUACCAAGGCGGCGACGGGU
RNAcentral lists this ribosomal RNA (257 nucleotides) under uncultured bacterium. RNAcentral describes it as "partial small subunit ribosomal RNA". It matches the Rfam family "Bacterial small subunit ribosomal RNA", at positions 26 to 284 of the family's 1533-position model. The record is from RNAcentral.